This 987-nucleotide ribosomal RNA is filed under the name Plasmodium knowlesi. Its description in RNAcentral is "SSU rRNA". It matches the Rfam family "Eukaryotic small subunit ribosomal RNA", at positions 638 to 1428 of the family's 1831-position model. The record is from RNAcentral. Lineage: Eukaryota; Apicomplexa; Aconoidasida; Haemosporida; Plasmodiidae.
ACAUAACUGAUGCCUCCGCGUAUCGACUUUGUGCGCAUUUUAGCUAUUAUGUGUUCUUUUAAUUAAAAUGAUUCUUUUUAAGAUUCAUCUAUUAAAAAUUUGCUUCUGCAUAAUUUUUUUUGAUGAUCUUGUUACUUUGAGUAAAUUAGAGUGUUCAAAGCAAACAGAUAUAGCAUUUGUGCGUUUGAAUACUACAGCAUGGAAUAACAAAAUUGAACAAGUCAGAAUUUUUUUGUUCUUUUUUCUUAUUUUGGCUUAGUUACGAUUAAUAGGAGUAGCUUGGGGGCAUUUGUAUUCAGAUGUCAGAGGUGAAAUUCUUAGAUUUUCUGGAGACAAACAACUGCGAAAGCAUUUGCCUAAAAUACUUCCAUUAAUCAAGAACGAAAGUUAAGGGAGUGAAGACGAUCAGAUACCGUCGUAAUCUUAACCAUAAACUAUGCCGACUAGGCUUUGGAUGAAAGAUUUUAAAAUAAGAGUUUUUCUUUUCUCUCCGGAGAUUAGAACUCUUAGAUUGCUUCCUUCAGUGCCUUAUGAGAAAUCAAAGUCUUUGGGUUCUGGGGCGAGUAUUCGCGCAAGCGAGAAAGUUAAAAGAAUUGACGGAAGGGCACCACCAGGCGUGGAGCUUGCGGCUUAAUUUGACUCAACACGGGAAAACUCACUAGUUUAAGACAAGAGUAGGAUUGACAGAUUAAUAGCUCUUUCUUGAUUUCUUGGAUGGUGAUGCAUGGCCGUUUUUAGUUCGUGAAUAUGAUUUGUCUGGUUAAUUCCGAUAACGAACGAGAUCUUAACCUGCUAAUUAGCGGCAAAUACGAUAUAUUCUUAUGUAGAAUUGAAUAUAGUGGAUUCGUUAGAUUUUGAAGAAAAUAUUGGAAUUACGUUAAAUGUGAUUCCUUUCCCUUUUCUACUUAAUUUACAUUUCCAUCUAUUUCUCUUUUGCGUAUGAAUGUAUUUGCUUGAUUGUAAAGCUUCUUAGAGGAACGAUGUGUG